This 506-nucleotide ribosomal RNA is filed under the name Lupola multidentata. Its description in RNAcentral is "partial large subunit ribosomal RNA". Lineage: Eukaryota; Metazoa; Arthropoda; Insecta; Hemiptera; Cicadellidae. The record is from RNAcentral.
UUCUUUAUGAUUAUUUAUAAAGUAAUUUCUGCCCAAUGAAAAAUUUCAAUGGCUGCAGUAUAUUGACUGUACAAAGGUAGCAUAAUAAUUAGUUCCUUAAUUAGGUUCUUGUAUGAAAGGAUAAAUGCGGGAUUUACUUUAUUAAUUUUACUAUAUGAAUUUUAUUUUUUGGUUAAAAAGCUAAACUAUUUUUUAGGGACGAUAAGACCCUAUAGAACUUUAAAUUAUUUUUAAUAUAAUUUAGUUUAGAUUAUUAAUAUUUAAAAUUAGAUUUAAUUUUUAUUUGGGGUGAAUAGUAAAUUUAAUUGGCUUUUCUUAUAAGUUUCAUUAAUUUAUGUUUAUUUGAUCCUAAUUAGAUUAUAAGAUAAGUUACCUUAGGGAUAACAGCGUAAUUUUAAUGGAAAGUUCUUAUUUAAAUUAGAGUUUGCGACCUCGAUGUUGAAUUAAGAUAAAUUUAGGGUGUAGAGGCUUUAUAAUUAAGUCUGUUCGACUUUUAAAUUCUUACA